GAAGAAUAUUAUGUAAAUGUGAGGGCUUAUUAUUGUCAUUAUCAAAACAAAUGAGUCUUUGAGGAAAGGGGAAAUAGCUUCAGUCACCAGUCUUCAGAGGAACCUCCCUGCUGUCUCUGCUUCCAUCGUGAUGUGCUCCGGGCUCUGAACUAUUGCUUAAGCCAUGUUCCUGUCAUACUAGUCUUACUGCCUUAUAAUGCUUCCAUCAAGUUAUGGCCUACAGCAGAUCCAGACAAGCCCAAGGCAAAACAGAGAUUUAUUCCUUUGGUGGAGCCCAUCCAAGCCAACCGAAGAGCAGCCACCAAAGACAGCAUGGGGUUGAAUGGGACGGAUUCUCCUUGUUUCAUUUGGAAGGUCUUGUUGACCCCCAGUGAAAAAAAGACAAAGUGCCCCUCCUCCGACCUGCCAUGCCAAGAAGAUGGAUCGAGCCAUGUGGCCAACCAAGAUUUAUGCAGUCAGCUGUUUUUUCUGAACCUUGGCCCCAUUGGAAGCUUCACGCUCAUGUUUCUCGGCAACCUUUGGGCGGCAACAUCCUCUCCAUCAGCUUUCAGAUGCCAGUGUCUCACAUUCCCAAGAAUCCAGACUGUUUUCCAUCUAUUCCUGUUGAGUAAGGGCACUCUCCCUCCUGAGCUUCCUUCCAGCCUAAACUCCUCUCCUCUCCCUUCCUUUUUCACAUUUCACAAUGAGGCCCCCAUUAAAUAUUCAUCAAAUGAAUGAAUGAACAACCUUUAGCCCCUUUCAUGUAACUGAAUUCAAUAGAAAGUCAUAAAACUACUCUUUCUUUAAAAAAAAACAACAAAAGGCAUUUCCGGAUCUAGAACAGGUCAUGUUCCAAAACUUUAUUCUUAAGUCAGUUUUUUUGUAAGUUUCCAGGCCCUUUUCUGCAUAGAAUUGGCCUUAACCAUUCUGUGGAGGUUCCCAGGCCAAUCAACAGAAGUCACCGCACUGAGCAUGUACACCAUUGUAGAAUACAAUCGCCUAUAGCACACAGAUCAUAGAAUGGUAGGGUUAGAAGGGACCUCAGUAUCUCGCUCAGUGCUGGGUACAAAGUAGCUAUUUGGAUACGGUGCUGAUGAGCAUAUUGAAAGGACAUGGAGCCAGGAGAUCUGUCCUCUGAGGACUUUCCAGGAUGUGACAUGCUCUCAGUCUAGGUUGGAUUUAUCAGCCCAACCCAAAGGUCCCAACAGAUUCAACAACCAAUAACAUCCAUUAAGCACCUAAUUAUAUAUAUAUAUAUAUAUAUUAUAUAUAUAUAUAUAUAUAUAUAUAUAUUAUAUAUAUAUAUAUAUAUAUAUAUAUAUAUAUAUAUAUAUAUAUAUAUAUAUAUAUGUAUAGCAUGGUGGUAGAUAUUUCAGUUUCCCCCAUUUGCAAGAUAUCAAUAAUACUAGCACCUACUUCACAGGGCUGCUGUGAGGAUCAAAUAAGAUAAUGUACAUAAAAAGCAUCUUAUCAAUGCUAGCUAUAAUGAUGAUUGUGGUAGUGGUAAUAGAGAGGUGGAUGACAGCAAUGGAGAGAUAGCGGGGGCAAAGACAGGAUGUUCAAGUCCUGUCUUUGACCCAUACUGGCUGCAUGACUCUGGACAAAUCGCUUAACCUUUCAGUGUCCCCACACAACUUUCUAAGACCAAGAUGCAUCGUUGUUUCUGAUCUACGCAGUAGAGGGAUUUUUUUUUCUUAUUUCUUUAAUCCCUCUCCAAAUCCCUUAUACCAGAGGUACCCAAACUUACUUGGCCUACUGCUCACUUAAAAAAAAAUUACUCAGUGCCCCCUUGGAAGUCUAUUUUCUUUAACUCUUUAAUGUUUUGGGCUUUUUUGAAAUUUGCAUCAUUUCAAAAAAAUAAAAUUUUUUAAAUGACUUCUCUUAAAUUUAAU
This is a long non-coding RNA of Phascolarctos cinereus (koala), 1871 nucleotides long. The record is from Ensembl. Lineage: Eukaryota; Metazoa; Chordata; Mammalia; Diprotodontia; Phascolarctidae.